UGCAAGUCGUACGCGGUGUCCAGCAAGGGAUUAGUAGAGUGGCAAACGGGUGAGUAACACGUGGGUGACCUACCUUCGAGUGGGGGAUAACCUUCCGAAAGGAGGGCUAAUACCGCAUGACAUCCCAUGUUUGGAUACAUGGACAUCAAAGCCGGGGAUCGCAAGACCUGGCGCUUGAAGAGGGACCUGCGCCCGAUUAGCUAGUUGGUGGGGUAACGGCCCACCAAGGCUUCGAUCGGUAUCCGGCCUGAGAGGGCGGACGGACACACUGGAACUGAGACACGGUCCAGACUCCUACGGGAGGCAGCAGUGGGGAAUUGUUCGCAAUGGGCGCAAGCCUGACGACGCAACGCCGCGUGGAGGAUGAAGACUUUCGGGUCGUAAACUCCUUUCGACCGAGAUGAAUAGUUCACGACUUAACACGUUGUGGAUCUGACAGUAUCGAGGGAAGAAGCCCCGGCUAACUCCGUGCCAGCAGCUGCGGUAAUAUGGGGGGGGCAAGCGUUGUUCGGAAUUACUGGGCGUAAAGGGUCCGUAGGUGGCCAACUAAGUCAGACGUGAAAUCCCUCAGCUUAACUGGGGAACUGCGUCUGAUACUGGUCGGCUUGAGUGCAGGAGAGGAACGCGGAAUUCCAGGUGUAGCGGUGAAAUGCGUAGAUAUCUGGAGGAACACCGGUGGCGAAGGCGGCGUUCUGGACUGCAACUGACACUGAACGACGAAAAGCCAGGGGAGCAAACGGGGAUUAGAUACCCCCGGUAGUUCCUGGCCCUAAACGAAUGAAUGCUUGGUGUGGCGGGUAUCGAUCCCUUGCCGUGCCGUAGUUAACCGCGAUAAGCAUUCCGCCUGGGGAGUAUGGUCGCAAGGCUG
Molecule: ribosomal RNA, 868 nt
Filed under: uncultured Acidobacteriota bacterium
Lineage: Bacteria; Pseudomonadati; Acidobacteriota
Description: bacterial SSU rRNA
Rfam family: Bacterial small subunit ribosomal RNA
Source: RNAcentral